Stomoxys calcitrans (stable fly) is the source of this 616-nucleotide long non-coding RNA. RefSeq lists it as uncharacterized. The record is from RefSeq and is a predicted model, not a curated record. Lineage: Eukaryota; Metazoa; Arthropoda; Insecta; Diptera; Muscidae. The transcript is spliced from 2 exons.
ACAAAGAAUGAAUGUAAAAAGAGAACAAGUUGACAUCCUCAAUGCCAAGUACUGCCAAAUAUUAAAAAAAAGUAUAUCGGCUGAUCGCUUGGCUUAACCUUAUUCAGUGAAUCCUGACUUGGAUCGAGAGUACAACACACAACUCCAUAUCAUCCACAAGCAAAUAAACUCGUGGAAAGAUGGCAUCGUACAUUGAAAUCAGCUUUACGAUUUCAUGGAGUCAUCUUUCAAAAUUUGGGAAACAAACAUUAGAAUUGUUCUCAGCGGCCGUAAUGCACAAGCCAUCGUUUGAAUCCGGCUUAGUUUUGAACUGUAGCAGGACUUUUAAAGUGCCGACCACCAGACCACAACAUUAUAGAUCUCACAACUACAGUAUACAACCAGUGCAACCCUCGAACUAUUGCCAAUAGCUCUCUUGCAGGUCCAUAGGCCAGAGCUUCCUUUCUUGGCUGUCCAAAAUGUUGGAUUUGAAGUUCAAAUUCCUGUCUCGCAAACACUGUCUGCUGAUAUUAAAUUAAACAUUUUAAACUUUUGAAUAAAUCUAUACACAAUUUUUUAAAUUCCAAACAAGAAUUGAGGCAUUUGCUAUAGCUUAAUAAAAAAAUUGUCAAUUUAA